AGCUGGUGAGCGUGGUUUAAGGCAUGGUUAUAACGGUCGUCCGUGCGGGUUCGCUUAACUGCGGGUCUCUGCCCUCGGGUGGGGAUGCUGGGGUACUUGUCAAGUACUACGCGCUCGUGAUGGUUCACCGGGCCGGCUUGCCAGUGCACUUUCUCGGAGUAGUCACCACGACCGGCGCUGCCGCUAGGCUGCUGGUGUUAAACCUGUCGUGUAUAGUCAUUGUGGCUUUAUGCGGUGGGGACGGCAGGUGACUCGUUGGCUUCGCCAUCGAGUGUUAUCAGCUGACAUCAGUGGUACUGUGCGGUGUGUCGGAGACGGCGGCUUGUGGUGUGUACGUGUGUGCCUGUUCGCUGACAGUGUCGGGUCUGGUUGUCAUGUGCUUGUAAAAGCAGGCCUGAUGAUGGCUCG
This 408-nucleotide ribosomal RNA is filed under the name Prosorhynchoides karvei. RNAcentral describes it as "partial large subunit ribosomal RNA". Lineage: Eukaryota; Metazoa; Platyhelminthes; Trematoda. The record is from RNAcentral.